Molecule: long non-coding RNA, 1066 nt
Organism: Polypterus senegalus (gray bichir)
Lineage: Eukaryota; Metazoa; Chordata; Cladistia; Polypteriformes; Polypteridae
Exons: 2
Source: RefSeq, a predicted model, not a curated record
UGCGAACAGGACUCGCAGGGACUGCUUUUAACCGCCUGGCUCUUCCAAAAAUGUGUCCACGUAAGCGUGCACUGCCGUGUCACCUUCGUGGCAUCGUUGAAGGCGGUUUUUGUUUGCUGCAGAUUGCAUUGCAAGGGAGGAAAGGAAACUGGUGCGUUAUGAUUUUGUAGACGCAAGACCGAAUUUGCAAAUCGGCGUAGUAGGGAAAAGUGUGGGCGUUGGCCGCUAACACUGGAAGAUCUCAGUGAUGCUGUAGGCAGCUGUUGCUUUGGGACGCCGACCCCCCUAUAACGGCGAUCUCGACUAGCGCUUUGUUAUGGUGUCCUCGAAAACCGCGCCACCCACCACAAUCGCCCUACGCUUUGAAUAAGCGCCUUUUCGCCGAAUACGACUACACUUGGAAUUGCUGCUACUUAAAAUGAUGACGUAGGCUUCUGUGCGUUUGGUGCUUGUAUAGAUCGGUCCCCUUUGACUUUCACAUAUGCCGAUUAGCCAGCGCAAAGUGCAUUCGCAGACUGCGGUGGUUUUAUGGCAGGGUUUGCAAUUAGCUGAGCUUCCUUUUCAAAAUUACACCGUCUCCUUUAGACUAAUUUUUACAAGUUUCAAUUCUAAUUAAAAAAAUUUUAAUGUUGAGGUUUAGUUUUUGGGAAUUUAAAGCUGCGAAGAUUUUAAGUUUCGAUAGGCACAAUUGUAUGUAUUCAUUUUAUCGGUUAGAGGAAACCCCUGUGUAUUAAAGGUACAAGCAUGCCUUGCCAUUGGGCGGUGUUGAUAUUGGAGCUUUAUUACGCAGAACCAAUUUAUGCUGUACUCAGAUGGGUUUACAAGUCCUUUGACGUGCUAAAUGCAGGACCCUUUUAAAUUUCCGGAUGUCUGGAUUGCCACGUGACAAGACUAUCUAGUGACGUACAAGGAAGGGGAUUCCUCUUUCUCAUAAACAACAAUGCAAUGUCCGCGAAAUCCAAAAAAGAAGCAGGCCGGAGUGGUGAAGAUCAAAGUCUUUUCCCAAACUUUUAUACUGUGCUGCUUUAACAUUUAAAUAAAUGCAAGGUCCUGAUUGCAUUGUGAA